UUAACAACGACUUUACAAUAUCAACGACUUCACAAAAUUUGGAACGAUACAGAGAAGAUUAGCAUGGCCCCUGCGCAAGGAUGACACGCACAAAUCGAGAAAUGGUCCAAAUUUUUUUUCCAAUUUCCCCCUGAAUCGAUGUUCUGGAACUUCUUCACAUUUUUCCUUUUCCUGCAUUUCUGCUCGUGGUUGAUAUUGUUCUCGUCCAAAAAUCUAUGCCUUUAGGGCUUGAAACCACUGACCACAAAUCUGAAUUUGUGAGUAACAAGAUUGACAGCGUUCUAUGCUUUCUCGUCCAAAAAUCUAUGCUUUUAGGGCUUGAAACAACAGACUACUGACCUUCUGGGUUUUGUUUGAAAACGAUUUUGGGUCUGUGCCAAGUAGGGAAGCUCACUGGAUUAUCCCAUGUAUGUUUGCCAUGUGAAGAAACUAUUUGGCCAAUCCAUUUAGUCCAGAAGUUGUGGGACUAUCCAGAUUAAUUAGUUAUGUGUUCACGUAAGUUCCAAUAAGCUCCGCAACUUGUCUCGGAGUCCUACUGAAGUCUUUAUUUUUAAUUUAAAAAUUCACAUAAGUGAAGCAUCUACCUUGACAUAUGGCAUGUUUUCUUUUGGUUUGGAACUUGUUUCAUGAACAAUGGUUGAGAGAGGGGAACCCAGGUGAUGGGAGUGUUCCUUUUGAGCCUCAGAGAAAAGUUCCCUCAUGGAAGAUUCCUGGUAAUUUAGGAAUCUUACUCAACUAUCAGACACAUAGACCCAAUUCCUGAUUUAACCACUUUACAUAAUUUGUUACAGAAGCAACUGUGGGCUUAUUGCCUGGAGAACCAUGGCUAUUUUUGGGAAAGUUCAGCAAAUAACUGCCCUUCUGUCACUACUCUUACUUGUCAGUUGCAAUUUCUUUUUUGCCUUGGGAAUUUAGCUGAUUGUCCGGCUAUGUGAGAUUUGUAUGAGGUUUCUUAAUGAUCAUCUUUGGCAAUUUCAAUAUCAUUCAACAAAAGAGCAGUAGGGGGGAGAAAAAAGAAUUACAAAGGUUGAACUUCUUGAGACAGAACUUUCCUUGGAGAAGUGAUGUAGAAUGGCGAAUCUAUGAGAGAAAGGGAAGGAUCCAAAGAUAUUUCUCAUUCUUUUUGAUAGUUAAUUCGGUUGAGCAUAGUCAUUUAUUAUUUAUUCUCUUGCUUUUCCUUUGUAUUGUUUCCAUGCGUUCAUCUUCUUUUGCUUUACCUGUUUCUUUCAUUUGGAAGAGGAUGCCAGCAGGGGUGGGGGUUAGGAAUCUCUUAGGUGGACUUGCACUCUUGGGCAGCUAGCUAUGUUAAGUUAUAAAAAUGAGUUUUACUAGAUGUAAUCAUGUAAGUAUGAAUAGAGUUUUUGUGGUACAUUUUCCACCUGCA
Molecule: long non-coding RNA, 1384 nt
Organism: Nelumbo nucifera (sacred lotus)
Lineage: Eukaryota; Viridiplantae; Streptophyta; Magnoliopsida; Proteales; Nelumbonaceae
Source: RefSeq, a predicted model, not a curated record